GAAUUAUGUAGGUCGUCCCAGCCUCAAGUAAGCUACCAAAUACUGGAACGGAGAUGGAUGUUGCGAUUUCGCCGCAUUCCAUUACUUCAUUCGAUUUGCCGCUGAUCCCGAUGGAAUACAGAUCUGCAAUCUAAGCAUUAGGGGAUGAGAAGUGGCUGUAAAGCCUAUGACAUGGCUGAAUGAAUAAAGGGUUGUUUCAUAUGUGUGUGUGUAUAUAUAUAUAUAUAUAUAUAUAUAUAUGAACCAAAUGGAUGUGUUGUGUGCUAAGAUGUGGAUAAUUAAUUCUAUCAUCACAUCGAUUGGAAAAAUAAGAUAUUCACGUGUG
RNAcentral lists this long non-coding RNA (325 nucleotides) under Musa acuminata (dwarf banana). RNAcentral's name for it is "long non-coding RNA (MACU_LNC004772)". Lineage: Eukaryota; Viridiplantae; Streptophyta; Magnoliopsida; Zingiberales; Musaceae. The record is from RNAcentral.